This 425-nucleotide ribosomal RNA is filed under the name uncultured bacterium. RNAcentral describes it as "bacterial SSU rRNA". It matches the Rfam family "Bacterial small subunit ribosomal RNA", at positions 30 to 459 of the family's 1533-position model. The record is from RNAcentral.
AUUGAACGCUGGCGGCAGGCCUAACACAUGCAAGUCGAGCGCGAAAGGCCUUCGGGCUGAGUAGAGCGGCGGACGGGUGAGUAACGCGUAGGAAUCUACCUGGUAGUGGGGGACAACUUGGGGAAACUCAAGCUAAUACCGCAUACGCCCUAUGGGGGAAAGUGGGGGACCUUCGGGCCUCACGCUAUCAGAUGAGCCUGCGUAGGAUUAGCUAGUUGGUGAGGUAAAGGCUCACCAAGGCGACGAUCCUUAGCUGGUCUGAGAGGAUGAUCAGCCACACUGGGACUGAGACACGGCCCAGACUCCUACGGGAGGCAGCAGUGGGGAAUAUUGCGCAAUGGGGGCAACCCUGACGCAGCCAUGCCGCGUGUGUGAAGAAGGCCUUCGGUUGUAAGCGACUUCUACUUGGUAGAAAGACGUCAUCG